This 497-nucleotide ribosomal RNA is filed under the name uncultured bacterium. RNAcentral's name for it is "partial 16S ribosomal RNA". It matches the Rfam family "Bacterial small subunit ribosomal RNA", at positions 28 to 507 of the family's 1533-position model. The record is from RNAcentral.
GAUGAACGCUGGCGGCGUGCCUAAUACAUGCAAGUCGAGCGAACAGACGAGGAGCUUGCUCCUCUGACGUUAGCGGCGGACGGGUGAGUAACACGUGGACAACCUACCUAUAAGACUGGGAUAACUUUGGGAAACCGGAGCUACUACCGGAUAAUAUAUCGAACUGCAUGGUUCAAUAGUGAAAGACGCUUUUGCUGUCACUUAUAGAUGGAUCCGCGCCGCAUUAGCUAGUUGGUAAGGUAACGGCUUACCAAGGCAACGAUGCGUAGCCGACCUGAGAGGGUGAUCGGCCACACUGGAACUGAGACACGGUCCAGACUCCUACGGGAGGCAGCAGUAGGGAAUCUUCCGCGAUGGGCGAAAGCUUGACGGAGCAACGCCGCGUGAGUGAUGAAGGUCUUCGGAUCGUAAAACUCUGUUAUUAGGGAAGAACAAAUGUGUAAGUAACUAUGCACGUCUUGACGGUACCUAAUCAGAAAGCCACGGCUAACUACGUG